This 432-nucleotide ribosomal RNA is filed under the name Aurospio sp. NHM 2186. Its description in RNAcentral is "partial large subunit ribosomal RNA". It matches the Rfam family "Bacterial large subunit ribosomal RNA", at positions 1953 to 2605 of the family's 2925-position model. The record is from RNAcentral. Lineage: Eukaryota; Metazoa; Annelida; Polychaeta; Spionida; Spionidae.
AAGGUAGCAUAAUCAUUUGCCUUUUAAUUGGAGGCUUGUAUGAACGGACACACGAAAACGCAACUUUCUUAUCGAGGAAAAUAAAAAUUAACCUUCAAGUGAAGAGACUUGAGUACCAUAAAAAGACGAAAAGACCCUAUGGAGCUUUACUUAAGUUAUUAAACCACAAAUAAAAAAAGCUUUUUUUACUAAAAAAGUUUAGUUGGGGCGACUAAGGAGCACACACCACCCUCCUACUGACAAAAGACUCUAAAUCUACAAAAGAUCCACAAACGUGAAUAAAAAUCCAGCUACCCUAGGGAUAACAGGCUAAUCCUCCUUAAGAGCUCAAAUUGACAGGAGGGCUUGGCACCUCGAUGUUGGCUUAAGAUCUCUACUAAGUGCAGCAGCUUAGGUAGUAGGUUUGUUCAACCUUUAAAAUCUUACGUGAUC